RNAcentral lists this ribosomal RNA (29 nucleotides) under Cladophialophora boppii. Its description in RNAcentral is "partial 28S ribosomal RNA". The record is from RNAcentral. Lineage: Eukaryota; Fungi; Ascomycota; Eurotiomycetes; Chaetothyriales; Herpotrichiellaceae.
UCUCAGUAGGAAACUUCUUCAGGUUGACC